This 444-nucleotide ribosomal RNA is filed under the name uncultured bacterium. RNAcentral's name for it is "SSU rRNA". It matches the Rfam family "Bacterial small subunit ribosomal RNA", at positions 26 to 518 of the family's 1533-position model. The record is from RNAcentral.
AGAGCGAACGCUGGCGGCAGGCCUAACACAUGCAAGUCGAGCGCCCCGCAAGGGGAGCGGCAGACGGGAGAGUAACACGUGGGAACGUACCCUUUGGUUCGGAACAACACAGGGAAACUUGUGCUAAUACCGGAUAAGCCCUUACGGGGAAAGAUUUAUUGCCAAAGGAUCGGCCCGCGUCUGAUUAGCUUGUUGGUGAGGUAACGGCUCACCAAGGCUACGAUCAGUAGCUGGUCUGAGAGGAUGAUCAGCCUCACUGGGACUGAGACACGGCCCAGACUCCUACGGGAGGCAGCAGUGGGGAAUAUUGGACAAUGGGCGCAAGCCUGAUCCAGCCAUGCCGCGUGGAUGAUGAAGGCCCUAGGGUUGUAAAGUCCUUUCGACGGGAAGAUAAUGACGGUACCCGUAGAAGAAGCCCCGGCUAACUUCGUGCCAGCAGGCCGC